Molecule: ribosomal RNA, 606 nt
Filed under: Peckia alvarengai
Lineage: Eukaryota; Metazoa; Arthropoda; Insecta; Diptera; Sarcophagidae
Description: partial 12S ribosomal RNA
Rfam family: Microsporidia small subunit ribosomal RNA (bases 1-386)
Source: RNAcentral
UAAAAAAUUUGGCGGUAUUUUAGUCUAUUCAGAGGAACCUGUUUUGUAAUCGAUAAUCCACGAUGGACCUUACUUGGGUUUGUAUUCAGUUUAUAUACCGUCGUUAUUAGAAUAUUUUAUAAGAAAGUUAAUUUUCAAGAAUUUUAAAAAGAAAGAAUAUCAGAUCAAGGUGUAGCUUAUGCUUAAGUAUAAAUGGGUUACAAUAAAAUUAUUUAAAUGAAUAUAAAUUUGAAAUGUUUAUUGAAGGUGGAUUUGAUAGUAAAAUUAUAUAGAUAAAUAAUUUGAUUUUGGCUCUAAAAUAUGCACACAUCGCCCGUCACUCUUAUUAUUAAGGUAAGAUAAGUCGUAACAUAGUAGAUGUACUGGAAAGUGUACCUAGAAUGCAAUUUAAAGCUUAUUAAGUAAAGCAUUUCAUUUACAUUGAAAAGAUUUUUGUGCAAAUCAAUAUAAAUUGAUAUUAUUUUUUAUUUAUUAAUUUAAUUUUUUUUUAUUAUAAAUUAUUAAAAAUAAUUAUUAAUUGAUUUGUUUAAGUAUUUUAUAAAGAAAAAAUAAUUUUAAUUAUAGUUAAAUAGUAUUGUGAAAGAAAAUUGAAAUAAAUUGAAAAAU